AUUGAACGCUGGCGGCAUGCUUUACACAUGCAAGUCGAACGGCAGCGCGGGCUUCGGCCUGGCGGCGAGUGGCGAACGGGUGAGUAAUGCAUCGGAACGUGCCCAGUAGUGGGGGAUAGCCCGGCGAAAGCCGGAUUAAUACCGCAUACGACCUGAGGGUGAAAGCGGGGGACCGAAAGGCCUCGCGCUAUUGGAGCGGCCGAUGUCGGAUUAGCUAGUUGGUGGGGUAAAGGCUUACCAAGGCGACGAUCCGUAGCUGGUCUGAGAGGACGACCAGCCACACUGGGACUGAGACACGGCCCAGACUCCUACGGGAGGCAGCAGUGGGGAAUUUUGGACAAAGGGGGCAACCCUGAUCCAGCCAUGCCGCGUGCGGGAAGAAGGCCUUCGGGUUGUAAACCGCUUUUGUUCGGGAAGAAAUCCUCUGGGCUAACACCCCGGGGGGAUGACGGUACCGGAAGAAUAAGCACCGGCUAACUACGUG
RNAcentral lists this ribosomal RNA (484 nucleotides) under uncultured bacterium. Its description in RNAcentral is "partial 16S ribosomal RNA". It matches the Rfam family "Bacterial small subunit ribosomal RNA", at positions 29 to 507 of the family's 1533-position model. The record is from RNAcentral.